Molecule: ribosomal RNA, 326 nt
Filed under: uncultured bacterium
Lineage: Bacteria
Description: bacterial SSU rRNA
Rfam family: Bacterial small subunit ribosomal RNA
Source: RNAcentral
GGUGAACGCUGGCGGCGUGCCUAACACAUGCAAGUCGAGCGAAGCACCUUACUUGAUUUCUUCGGGAUGAAAGUAUUGUGACUGAGCGGCGGACGGGUGAGUAACGCGUGGAUAACCUGCCUCAUACAGGGGGAUAACAGUUAGAAAUGACUGCUAAUACCGCAUGAGACCACAGCUCUGCAUGGAGCAGUGGCUAAAGGAGAAAUCCGGUGAAGGGUGGGCUCGCGUCCGAUUAGCUAGUUGGCAGGGUGAUAGCCUACCAAGGCGACGAUCGGUAGCCGACCUGAGAGGGUGAUCGGCCACAUUGGAACUGAGAUACGGUCCAA